GAUGAUUAUAAUUUUUUAUGACUUUUGUUUGAAAUAUUGUUGAUUUUUUGAUAUUUUCUUUUCUCAGAUUUAAGGAAAUCUUUUUCUCUUUUCUCUUAUGCUAACUAUGACUUAUAGCAAUUUGGUGAAAUUGCACCUUGGUGAGCAGAACUGAAACAUUUAUCUUUUUCUCCCUACCUGAUCCCUCCAGAAUAUAGAAACUCUUUGUGAUUUUGCCUCCUGGACCACUUCUCAUCAAAUGAUUCUCUUGUCUCCAGAGGAUCUGUAUACCUUGUCAACCUUGGACUCCAUUGGCGCAACCUCUGGUCCACUGAACUUCCUGCCUUUAUGUCCCCCAUUUGGGACAGCUCUACAGCUUUGUUACAGAAGAUUGACCAUCGUCCAUAACCACAAAGGAUUUUGGGGCCAAAUGGGUUUAAGGGGGGAUUUUAUGAUGAGGAAUCAAGGCUGCCCCAGGGAGAAGCCCAAGGCGUCCUUGCCUACAUGCCAAUCUAUAUCAUCCUCCAGGAAGUAUAGGACGUCCUGAGCUGAAUCGACCUAAUUUGUAUCCAAAAUUAUAGGACCACCUGAUAACCAGACCCCACCUGCACUAAUACCAUUUUAACGAUUUUUUUUACAUGAUCUUCCCUUGUAAAUAACUCACAUACCUAUGCCUUAUAAAUUUAGCCCUACCCUCAACCCAUUGCAGCUCUUCACUGCCCAUGGGUCCUGUCCCCAUGCUCUUCUCUGAAUAAAGGAGCACUACUGCCAGACCUUGAGAGUCCAAGAAAUCUUUCUUUUGACUCCUCGGCUCACCAAGCAUGCAUUGUCAAGCCAUGACAAGACAUGGAGGAAAUUUAAAUGCAUAAUACUAAGUUAAAGAAGCCAAUCUGAAAGGCUACAUACUGUGUAAUUCCAACUAUAUGACAUUCUGGGAAAGGCAAAACUAUAGAGACAGUAAAAAGUUCAGUGGACAGGUGUUGGAGGGUUGAAUAGGCAGAACACAGAGGAUUUUAGGGCAGUGAAAAUACUCUGUAUGAUACUAUAAUGGUGGAGACAUGUCAUUAUACAUUUGUCCAAACCUAUGCAAUGUACAACACCAGAGUGAGCCCUAACGUGGACUAUGGACUCUGGAUGAUAAUGAUGUGUCAGUGUAGGUUCAUUGACUGUAACAAAUCUAACACUCUGGUGUGGGAUGUUGGUCAUGGGGACACUGUGCUUGUGUGAGGUUUAGGGGAACUCUGCACUUUCUGCUCAAUUUUGCUGUGCACCUAAAACUGC
RNAcentral lists this long non-coding RNA (1260 nucleotides) under Equus asinus (donkey). RNAcentral's name for it is "lncRNA (ENSEASG00005034758.1)". The record is from RNAcentral. Lineage: Eukaryota; Metazoa; Chordata; Mammalia; Perissodactyla; Equidae.